GAUGAACGCUGGCGGCGUGCUUAACACAUGCAAGUCGAACGGGAUCCCAGGAGCUUGCUCCUGGGUGAGAGUGGCGAACGGGUGAGUAAUGCGUGACCGACCUGCCCCAUACACCGGAAUAGCUCCUGGAAACGGGUGGUAAUGCCGGAUGCUCCAGUUGGAUGCAUGUCCUUCUGGGAAAGAUUCUAUCGGUAUGGGAUGGGGUCGCGUCCUAUCAGCUUGAUGGCGGGGUAACGGCCCACCAUGGCUUCGACGGGUAGCCGGCCUGAGAGGGCGACCGGCCACAUUGGGACUGAGAUACGGCCCAGACUCCUACGGGAGGCAGCAGUGGGGAAUAUUGCACAAUGGGCGCAAGCCUGAUGCAGCGACGCCGCGUGCGGGAUGACGGCCUUCGGGUUGUAAACCGCUUUUGACUGGGAGCAAGCCCUUCGGGGUGAGUGUACCUUUCGAAUAAGCACCGGC
Molecule: ribosomal RNA, 462 nt
Filed under: uncultured bacterium
Lineage: Bacteria
Description: bacterial SSU rRNA
Rfam family: Bacterial small subunit ribosomal RNA
Source: RNAcentral